CUAGUCAUGUAGCCUAUGAGGAUGAGAACCUCCGGGGGCAGGGAGGUUCGACUCGAGCGAAGCGAGAGAACGUUGCGCCAGCAACGGCCCGCAG
Molecule: small RNA, 94 nt
Filed under: Escherichia coli
Lineage: Bacteria; Pseudomonadati; Pseudomonadota; Gammaproteobacteria; Enterobacterales; Enterobacteriaceae
Description: partial RtT sRNA
Rfam family: RtT RNA
About the family: This family represents a bacterial cis-regulatory element known as RtT RNA. The exact function of RtT is unknown although it is thought that it may be involved in changing the cellular response in relation to amino acid starvation.
Source: RNAcentral